CGUAGGGUGCGAGCGUUAAUCGGAAUUACUGGGCGUAAAGCGUGCGCAGGCGGUUUUGUAAGACAGAUGUGAAUCCCGGGCUCAACCUGGGACCUGCAUUUGUGACUGCAAGGCUAGAGUACGGUAGAGGGGGAUGGAAUUCCGCGUGUAGCAGUGAAAUGCGUAGAUAUGCGGAGGAACACCGAUGGCGAAGGCAAUCCCCUGGACCUGUACUGACGCUCAUGCACGAAAGCGGGGGGAGCAAACAGGAUUAGAUACCCUGGUAGUCCACGCCCUGAACGAUGUCAACUGGUUGUUGGGUCUUUACUGACUCAGUAACGAAGCUAACGCGUGAAGUUGACCGCCUGGGGAGUACGGCCGCAAGGUUG
This 368-nucleotide ribosomal RNA is filed under the name uncultured organism. Its description in RNAcentral is "bacterial SSU rRNA". It matches the Rfam family "Bacterial small subunit ribosomal RNA", at positions 526 to 896 of the family's 1533-position model. The record is from RNAcentral.